Long non-coding RNA from Megalobrama amblycephala (Wuchang bream), 2027 nucleotides. RefSeq lists it as uncharacterized. Lineage: Eukaryota; Metazoa; Chordata; Actinopteri; Cypriniformes; Xenocyprididae. The transcript has 2 exons. The record is from RefSeq and is a predicted model, not a curated record.
GUAAAUUCAACUUAUCCGGGCUAACAGUGCAUGAUAAAUAAAAAUAUAAAAUAAAAAUUGAUAAAAGUUAUGAAUAAUGUAUAAUAAAAUGAAUAUAUGAUAUGAAAUCUGAAAAUGAGUAGUUGAAUCUAAAGUAAGUAAAUCCCCUCAUGAACAGUUCCUAAUGUGUUUCUACAUAAGUUUCGCUUUCCCCAUGAUGAGUUUCUGUUCAUCAAAACAGAAACGCAUGUAAAACCUGUGGGACAACUAAUGUUUGUUACUUACUAUAGAGUAGUUCCUGUCACUAUUCAGUGACAUCAGCAAAUAUGCAGUGUUUUCAUGUCAUAUAAAUGAGGCAGUCAGUGCCAAAGAUCUAAGUAAGGUAUUUCACUACAAGGUAAGACGUAUCAUUUUUUAAAUGUGUUUUUAUAUACUUUAAAUACUGUACAUAUUUUUUAUUGAUUUUGAAUUGUUUAUGUUUUUACAGAUAUAGAUCGGUGCACUACAGAUUAACCCUUCAUCUCACUGCAAUAAUUUUGGAGGAUCAGUUUUUCUCAGUGUUUUAACUGUCAGGAACAUGACGAGAACUCUGAAUGAAUUAUCUGAUCUGAGAAAGACCAGGUAUGGUUGGCCACCUCCCAGACAUGGUCUGAUCUUGCUGUGGUGGUUUGCUCAUGAAUGUGUUCAGAUUGACUAUGAUCGUAUGAUUGCCCGCUGCAACCCUGCAAAUGGAGCUUUUGGCUUCCACCGAUUCUAUAAUUGGGACAAGCUUCUUCCUCGCACUAACCUCCCAUACUAUGAGGUGGGAAACCUGAACACCACUGGCUCACUGCCGCUGUACGUCACUCAGUAUUACACAGGACAUUCAGACAACAGCAACAAAGAUCGCAUCAUUGUUUUAUUUAACUCAAGGUGGAACAGAUUUGAUUGCGUUUAUGUGACACAGCACUCAGAUCUUGUGAAGUUUGACCAGAAUCACACUUACUGCAUUAGCAUCAAACUUAUGAAGGAGAUUAAAAAUUUGAGCCGUGAGGAUUUCCUCAGAAAACCCAUCCUUCCAAAACGACCCAAUCCUCCUGAACAUUGUUCCAUAGACAUGACUAACAAUGUAAUGCCCAAUCCUCAACCAAGACUGUCACACACACCUCAGCCAGUGCAGAAUGAAAACAGCUGUCUGAGUAAAUGCUGCUGUGUGCUGAUUUGUGUCUUGAUUUUACUGUUUCUCAUUGUUGCUGCUAUUGUCUUUUUAUGGUUUAAACUGAAAUAGUUUUCAUCCACUGCUGUUUGUUAUUCUAGCUCAUUUUGAAGCUGCAUUUUGCUUCCUUUGGAUCAGUUGCUUAUUAAAUACGUUUACAUUUAUUAUUAUAUAAAAUGUACCAAAUGUAAGAAUCAAUCUUAAUAUUGAUAUUAAUCUGAAUAUUGCGUGACACACUCCAAUCAGUGUGUUCGGUGGUUACGCCCUGAUUUAGCCUAUAGUAAUUUCGUUUCAUAUUUGUUGUGCUUAUUUUUUGACAUAAAUACAAACAGAGAAUGUUAAAACUCCAAAAACCAUGACUUGUGUUUGUGUGAUUUAGUUUUUUAUUUUUAAUUUAACAAUGCAAAAAUGUCUAUUACUUUGCCACGAGUGCAAUCAAAAGUUCAGUGCAAUGGAUAUUUAAAAAAGCCGCAGUUCUCCUGUAACUAUUAUUCAUGUUAUGUUUCAUUUUAUGAUCACAAAUUUUGAGUUGUUUACUGGUUUUCUUUCUUUUCUUUAUUAAUUCUCUGAACUGUUGUUUCUUAUUGUUUGUGUAAAUGAAUCUUCUCUUUCAGUAGGCCUAUAUAAUAUCAGAUGCCACUGAAAACAGAUGCAAAUGAAUGUGAGGGAGACUGGUGCUGGUUGGGACAAUUUUUAUUCUUUGUUGGAACAAAUAACUCAACUAUGUGCAAUUAAAAGCAAGUUCUUAGGUAAAAUAAAAACAGAAAUUCAAUGUCACUAAAUAAAGUGAUGUUUAGCUGUCUGUCUGAGGGAAGCAACAAAUAAAAGAUUAAAAUGUACAUUUUAAACCAAA